AUAAACUUGUGGUACUGAUUACGUGCCUGCAUGGAGGCUAUUGAGAAUCAUUAUCCGAACAUGACCUGGACUAUUUUGUUAUUAAUUAGUCUUAUUAUGGGCCGUCACUACAUUUGACCUACACCCCUAUUUAAAUUAAAUUAGGGUAGCUUUUUUUUAAUAAGGGCUAAAAUACUAUACUAACUAAAAAAAUUAUGAGAAGAAAAUUGUGAAUUAUAUAUAUCGGGGCAUGCAAUAAUGUUACUCAUAUUAGCUUUAUUUACCAAAAAAAUAAAAAAAUAUUUAAUGGCAAACAAGAAUAAUCGGAUUUAAUAAAAUUACGAAAAUGUUUUAAGUUGAGUAUGUAUAGUGAGACGCGAAAUAUCAGGAAUAUGUUUUAUACUCUCUAUAUAAAACAUAUUCUUAAGCUUCAACCAUCAGAUUAAACUUUUGGUUGAGAUAGUCCUAUAACAUGGUAUCGGAGCUAGCGUGACACAAAAGUCACGGGUUCGAAUUUCAUCCACCACUAACUUUCAAGUGGAAUAUUAAGCACAUGCAUGGUAUGAGAAGAGCCCAUGCUGCAUCUCGUGUGUGUGUGGGGGGGGAGGAGUUUCUUUCAAGAUAGCUGGAGCUCAUUCGCGAGUUCUAUCAGGUAAAGCCAAUGAUUAGAGGCUUGGGGGCGCAAUGCCCUCGACCUAUUCUCAAACUUUAAAUAGGUAGGGCGGCGCGACUGCUUUGUUGAGCCAUGUCAUGGAAUCGAGAGCUCCAAGUAGGCCAUUUUUGGUAAGCAGAACUGGCGAUGCUGGAUGAACCGGAAGCCGAGUUAUGUUGCCUAACUACGCGCUAACCUAGAUUCCACAAAGGGUGUUGGUCGAUUAAGACAGCCGACGGUGGUCAUGGAAGUCGAAAUCCGUUAAGGAGUGUGUAACAACUCACCUGCCGAAUCAACUAGCCUCGAAAAUGGAAGGCGCUAAUGCGUGUAACCUAUACCUAGCCGUCGGGGCAAGUGUCAGGCCCUGAUGAGUAGGAGGGUGCACCGGUCACUGCAAAACCUAUGGCGUGAGCCAGGGCAGAGCGGUCGUUGGUGUAGAUCUUGGUGGUAGUAGCAAAGAUUCAAAUGAGAGCUUUGAGAGCCGAAGAGGGGAAAGGUUCCAUGUGAACGACACUUGCACAUGGGUUAGUCGAUCUUAAGAGACAGGGGAAGCCUGUCCGAUAGCGCGUUUCGCGCGAGCUUCGAAAGGAAAUCGGGUUAAAAUUCCUGAACCGGGACGUGGCGGUUGACGGCAACGUUAGGAAGUUUAGAGACGUUGGCGGGGGCCUUGGGAAGAGUUAUCUUUUCUGUUUAACAGCCUUCCCAUCCUGGAUCGGCUCAACCGGAGGUAGGGUCCAGUGGCUGGAAGAGCACCGCACGUUUUGUGGUGUCCGGUGCGCCCCCGGCGGCCCUUGAAAAUCUGGAGGACCGAGUGCCGACUACGCCCGGUCUUACUCAUAACCUAAGGUCUGCUUUGCGGACCGAUCUAGGCGGAGGACAUUGUCAGGUGGGGAGUUUGGCUGAGGUGGCACAUUUGUUGAAAGAUAACGUAGGUGUCCUAAGAUGAGCUUAACGAGAACAGAAAUCUCGUGUGGAACAUAAGGGUAAAAGCUCGUUUGAUUUUGAUUUUCAGUACGAAUACGAAUUGUGAAAGAGUGGCCUAAAAAUCCUUUAGACCUUUUGAAUUUAAAGCCAGAGGUGUCAGGAAAGUUACCACAGGGAUAAUUGCCUUGUGGCAGCCAAGCAUUCAUAGCAACGUUGCUUUUUUAUCCUUCGAUGUCGGCUCUUCCUAUCGUUGUGAAGCACCAAGUGUUGGAUUGUUCACCCACCAAUAGGGACCGUGAGAUGGGUUUAUAUCGUCGUGAGUCAAGUUAGUUACCCUAUUGAUUCACACAAUUGGUCCUCGCGCUUGGUUGAAAAGCCAUGCUCGCCCCCCAAUUGUCGUCCUACAGUAAGGGAUUCAACCCCCAAAGGCCAUGUUGUAGGCUAAGCUCGCACGGUGGAUGUGCCGUGAGAGCCGCUUUGAAGUAUAAUCCCUAUCCAGCGGCGGGUUGAAUCCUUUGCAGACGACUUAAAUACACGACGGGGUAUUGUAUGUGGCAGAGUGGUCUUGCUGCCACGAUACACUGAGAUUCAGCCCUAUGUCACUUUGAUUCGUCCCUCCUCC
RNAcentral lists this ribosomal RNA (2177 nucleotides) under Chenopodium suecicum. RNAcentral's name for it is "eukaryotic LSU rRNA". It matches the Rfam family "Eukaryotic large subunit ribosomal RNA". The record is from RNAcentral. Lineage: Eukaryota; Viridiplantae; Streptophyta; Magnoliopsida; Caryophyllales; Amaranthaceae.